RNAcentral lists this ribosomal RNA (274 nucleotides) under uncultured bacterium. RNAcentral describes it as "partial 16S ribosomal RNA". It matches the Rfam family "Bacterial small subunit ribosomal RNA", at positions 523 to 796 of the family's 1533-position model. The record is from RNAcentral.
AUACGGAGGGUGCAAGCGUUAUCCGGAUUUAUUAGGUUUAAAGGGUCCGUAGGCGGACUAUUAAGUCAGAGGUGAAAUCCCACAGCUCAACUGUGGAACUGCCUUUGAUACUGGUAGUCUUGAGUUAUAUGGAAGUAGAUAGAAUGUGUAGUGUAGCGGUGAAAUGCAUAGAUAUUACACAGAAUACCGAUUGCGAAGGCAGUCUACUACGUAUAUACUGACGCUAAGGGACGAAAGCGUGUGGAGCGAACAGGAUUAGAAACCCCAGUAGUCC